This 440-nucleotide ribosomal RNA is filed under the name uncultured bacterium. RNAcentral's name for it is "bacterial SSU rRNA". It matches the Rfam family "Bacterial small subunit ribosomal RNA", at positions 338 to 795 of the family's 1533-position model. The record is from RNAcentral.
CCUACGGGGGGCUGCAGUAAGGAAUAUUCCGCAAUGGGCGCAAGCCUGACGGAGCAAUGCCGCGUGCAGGAUGAAGCCCCUCGGGGUGUAAACUGCUGUCAGAGAUAAGCAACACAUGAGCUAUCUCAGAGGAAGAGGCGACUAACUCUGUGCCAGCAGUCGCGGUAAUACAGAGGCCUCGAGCGUUAAUCGGAAUCACUGGGCUUAAAGGGUGCGUAGGCUGACUUGUAAGUGCUUUGUGAAAUCCCAUCGCUCAACGGUGGAAUUGCUCGGCAUACUGCAAGUCUUGAGGUCGGUAGGGGCUGCCGGAACUGUAGGUGGAGCGGUGAAAUGCGUAGAUAUCUACAGGAACGCCAAAGGUGAAGACAGGCAGCUGGGCCGAUUCUGACGCUGAGGCACGAAAGCGUGGGGAGCAAACGGGCUUAGAUACCCGUGUAGUC